GCAGUCGAGCGGUAGCACAGAGAGCUUGCUCUCGGGUGACGAGCGGCGGACGGGUGAGUAAUGUCUGGGAAACUGCCUGAUGGAGGGGGAUAACUACUGGAAACGGUAGCUAAUACCGCAUAACGUCGCAAGACCAAAGUGGGGGACCUUCGGGCCUCAUGCCAUCAGAUGUGCCCAGAUGGGAUUAGCUAGUAGGUGGGGUAACGGCUCACCUAGGCGACGAUCCCUAGCUGGUCUGAGAGGAUGACCAGCCACACUGGAACUGAGACACGGUCCAGACUCCUACGGGAGGCAGCAGUGGGGAAUAUUGCACAAUGGGCGCAAGCCUGAUGCAGCCAUGCCGCGUGUGUGAAGAAGGCCUUCGGGUUGUAAAGCACUUUCAGCGGGGAGGAAGGCGAUGAGGUUAAUAACCUUGUCGAUUGACGUUACCCGCAGAAGAAGCACCGGCUAACUCCGUGCCAGCAGCCGCGGUAAUACGGAGGGUGCAAGCGUUAAUCGGAAUUACUGGGCGUAAAGCGCACGCAGGCGGUCUGUCAAGUCGGAUGUGAAAUCCCCGGGCUCAACCUGGGAACUGCAUUCGAAACUGGCAGGCUAGAGUCUUGUAGAGGGGGGUAGAAUUCCAGGUGUAGCGGUGAAAUGCGUAGAGAUCUGGAGGAAUACCGGUGGCGAAGGCGGCCCCCUGGACAAAGACUGACGCUCAGGUGCGAAAGCGUGGGGAGCAAACAGGAUUAGAUACCCUGGUAGUCCACGCUGUAAACGAUGUCGAUUUGGAGGUUGUGCCCUUGAGGCGUGGCUUCCGGAGCUAACGCGUUAAAUCGACCGCCUGGGGAGUACGGCCGCAAGGUUAAAACUCAAAUGAAUUGACGGGGGCCCGCACAAGCGGUGGAGCAUGUGGUUUAAUUCGAUGCAACGCGAA
Molecule: ribosomal RNA, 916 nt
Filed under: Klebsiella pneumoniae
Lineage: Bacteria; Pseudomonadati; Pseudomonadota; Gammaproteobacteria; Enterobacterales; Enterobacteriaceae
Description: bacterial SSU rRNA
Rfam family: Bacterial small subunit ribosomal RNA
Source: RNAcentral